GAUGAACGCUGGCGGCGUGCCUAAUACAUGCAAGUCGAGCGAAUGGAUUGAGAGCUUGCUCUCAAGAAGUUAGCGGCGGACGGGUGAGUAACACGUGGGUAACCUGCCCAUAAGACUGGGAUAACUCCGGGAAACCGGGGCUAAUACCGGAUAACAUUUUGAACUGCAUGGUUCGAAAUUGAAAGGCGGCUUCGGCUGUCACUUAUGGAUGGACCCGCGUCGCAUUAGCUAGUUGGUGAGGUAACGGCUCACCAAGGCAACGAUGCGUAGCCGACCUGAGAGGGUGAUCGGCCACACUGGGACUGAGACACGGCCCAGACUCCUACGGGAGGCAGCAGUAGGGAAUCUUCCGCAAUGGACGAAAGUCUGACGGAGCAACGCCGCGUGAGUGAUGAAGGCUUUCGGGUCGUAAACUCUGUUGUUAGGGAAGAACAAGUGCUAGUUGAAUAAGCUGGCACCUUGACGGUACCUAA
This 473-nucleotide ribosomal RNA is filed under the name uncultured bacterium. RNAcentral's name for it is "bacterial SSU rRNA". It matches the Rfam family "Bacterial small subunit ribosomal RNA", at positions 28 to 482 of the family's 1533-position model. The record is from RNAcentral.